AUUGAACGCUGGCGGCAUGCCUUACACAUGCAAGUCGAACGGUAACGGGCCUUCGGGUGCCGACGAGUGGCGAACGGGUGAGUAAUACGUCGGAACGUGCCCGAUCGUGGGGGAUAACGAGGCGAAAGCUUUGCUAAUACCGCAUACGAUCUACGGAUGAAAGCAGGGGACCGCAAGGCCUUGCGCGGACGGAGCGGCCGACGGCAGAUUAGGUAGUUGGUGGGAUAAAAGCUUACCAAGCCGACGAUCUGUAGCUGGUCUGAGAGGAUGAUCAGCCACACUGGGACUGAGACACGGCCCAGACUCCUACGGGAGGCAGCAGUGGGGAAUUUUGGACAAUGGGCGCAAGCCUGAUCCAGCCAUGCCGCGUGCAGGAUGAAGGCCUUCGGGUUGUAAACUGCUUUUGUACGGAACGAAAAGCCUUCUUUUAAUACAGGAGGGUCAUGACGGUACCGUAAGAAUAAGCACCGGCUAACUACGUG
RNAcentral lists this ribosomal RNA (482 nucleotides) under uncultured bacterium. RNAcentral's name for it is "partial 16S ribosomal RNA". It matches the Rfam family "Bacterial small subunit ribosomal RNA", at positions 30 to 507 of the family's 1533-position model. The record is from RNAcentral.